This 180-nucleotide unclassified non-coding RNA is filed under the name uncultured fungus. Its description in RNAcentral is "sequence contains ITS1". The record is from RNAcentral. Lineage: Eukaryota; Fungi.
CCAAAUCCAAAUCCCAACCCCAUGUGAACCUGUUUUUGUCUGUCUUUGGGGGUAGCACUGGGACAGUGUUAUGCUUCCCUUUUGUUGCCCCCAAAAGAAUCCGGCACUCCGGUGUUGGAUUCGCUGACUAAACCACUUUUAACCUUUUUUGGAAUAAUCUUAUAUUAAUCUAAUAUAAGA